GACGAACGCUGGCGGCGUGCUUAACACAUGCAAGUCGAACGGAAAGACCAUGCUCUUGUGGGGUGCUCGAGUGGCGAACGGGUGAGUAACACGUGAGUAACCUGCCCUUGACUUUGGGAUAACUUCAGGAAACUGGGGCUAAUAUCGGAUAGGAGCUACUGCUGCAUGGGGGGGGUUGGAAAGAUUCGGCGGUUGGGGCUGGACUAGCGGGUUAUCAGCUGGUUGGGGGGGUAGUGGCUUACCAAGGCUUUGACGGGUAGCCGGCGUGGGAGGGUGGCCGGGCACAUUGGGACUGAGAUACGGCCCAGACUCCUACGGGCGGCAGAAGGGGGGAGUAUUGCACAAUGGGCGGAAGCCAGAUGCAGCGACGCCGGGUGCGGGAUGACCGCCUUCGGGUUGUAAACCGCUUUCGCCUGUGACGAAGCGUGAGUGACGGUAAUGGGUAAAGAAGCACCGGCUAACUACGUG
RNAcentral lists this ribosomal RNA (468 nucleotides) under uncultured bacterium. RNAcentral's name for it is "partial 16S ribosomal RNA". It matches the Rfam family "Bacterial small subunit ribosomal RNA", at positions 28 to 507 of the family's 1533-position model. The record is from RNAcentral.